GAAUAUUACACCAACUCCGGUCACCGGUGCCGGCGCCGGCGUCGGUGCGGUUGCCGGAGCACUGGCGUUAGUGAAGAAGAAGAGAGGUAGACCAAGAAAAUAUGGACCAGAUGGAGUUGCAGUGCCGUCCGCGGCGGCGCUUUCGCCGAAGCCGAUUUCGUCGGCAGCUCCUGUGUCGUCGCCGGUGAUUGAUUUCUCAUCGGAGAAACGGGGGAAAAUCCGGCCGGUCGGAUUAUUUAGUAAGCCACAUAUGCCUAAGUUGGAGGUUGAAAAUUCAGGUGAAUGGGUCUCAUGCUCCGUUGGUGCUAAUUUUACGCCCCAUAUUAUCACCGUUAAUACUGGAGAGGAUGUCACCAUGAAGAUUAUAUCAUUCUCUCAACAAGGGCCUCGAGCAAUAUGCAUUCUUUCAGCAAACGGUGUAAUUUCAAGUGUUACGCUGCGUCAACCAGACUCUUCUGGUGGCACAUUGACGUAUGAGGGCCGGUUUGAGAUACUGUCAUUGACUGGAUCAUUUAUGCCAUCCGAGACGGGAGGAAUGAGAAACAGGUCAGGAGGAAUGAGUGUUUCUCUAGCAAGCCCUGAUGGACGUGUUGUUGGAGGUGGAGUUGCCGGUCUACUAGUUGCUGCUGGUCCGGUCCAGAUUGUUGUUGGGAGCUUCCUUGCUGGAAAUCAACAUGAACAAAAGACCAAGAAAAACAAAUUGGAGCCUAUUACAGCUGCUGUUGUUCCUAUUACUAGUCCAAAUAUUGAAGAACCAUGUAAUCACUCUUCAGCAAAACCUACUAUGCCCGCUUCCUCGAUUAACUGGUCAUCAUCGUUGGCAACUGAGUCGAGAAGUAAGACAGCUGACAUCAACGUAACGUUGCCUGCAUAGGAGGGUAAAAUCUUUCCGUUCUUAUUUGAUCCUUGAUCCUCACAUCCAUUUGUUGUUAUAACUUCUUUGUCAACCUCGUGUCCUCGAGCAUGUCAUUUUCCAGUUGAGGUAUGCUGUAUGCCUAGUAAUCCGAACUAGUUUUCGUUGUAGUUUUUUUCUUUCUCCUCUGUCGUUCGCUCGUUGUAGGAUUUUUAGUUGUAUAAUUGGUGUCAGAAAUGAACUUAUCUUAAGUUAAAGGCUUUAUGUUUAGUUUUAGCCAAGGUAAAUUGUUCAUCUCUCUUCAUGAAGUAUGCGAAACUAAUAUAAUU
RNAcentral lists this unclassified non-coding RNA (1182 nucleotides) under Hevea brasiliensis (rubber tree). The record is from RNAcentral. Lineage: Eukaryota; Viridiplantae; Streptophyta; Magnoliopsida; Malpighiales; Euphorbiaceae.